GACGAACGCUGGCGGCGUGCUUAACACAUGCAAGUCGAACGGAAAGGCCCUGCUUUUGUGGGGUGCUCGAGUGGCGAACGGGUGAGUAACACGUGAGUAACCUGCCCUUGACUUUGGGAUAACUUCAGGAAACUGGGGCUAAUACCGGAUAGGAGCUCCUGCUGCAUGGUGGGGGUUGGAAAGUUUCGGCGGUUGGGGAUGGGCUCGCGGCUUAUCAGCUUGUGGGUGGGGUAGUGGCUUACCAAGGCUUUGACGGGUAGCCGGCCUGAGAGGGUGACCGGCCACGUUGGGACGGAGAUACGGCCCAGACUCCUACGGGAGGCAGCAGUGGGGAGUAUUGCAGAAUGGGCGGAAGCCUGAUGCAGCAACGCCGCGUGCGGGAUGACGGCCUUCGGGUUGUAAACCGCUUUCGCCUGUGACGAAGCGUGAGUGACGGUAAUGGGUAAAGAAGCACGGGCUAACUACGUG
This 468-nucleotide ribosomal RNA is filed under the name uncultured bacterium. Its description in RNAcentral is "partial 16S ribosomal RNA". It matches the Rfam family "Bacterial small subunit ribosomal RNA", at positions 28 to 507 of the family's 1533-position model. The record is from RNAcentral.